Molecule: ribosomal RNA, 465 nt
Filed under: uncultured Klebsiella sp.
Lineage: Bacteria; Pseudomonadati; Pseudomonadota; Gammaproteobacteria; Enterobacterales; Enterobacteriaceae
Description: bacterial SSU rRNA
Rfam family: Bacterial small subunit ribosomal RNA
Source: RNAcentral
CCUACGGGCGGCAGCAGUGGGGAAUAUUGCACAAUGGGCGCAAGCCUGAUGCAGCCAUGCCGCGUGUGUGAAGAAGGCCUUCGGGUUGUAAAGCACUUUCAGCGGGGAGGAAGGCGUUAAGGUUAAUAACCUUGGCGAUUGACGUUACCCGCAGAAGAAGCACCGGCUAACUCCGUGCCAGCAGCCGCGGUAAUACGGAGGGUGCAAGCGUUAAUCGGAAUUACUGGGCGUAAAGCGCACGCAGGCGGUCUGUCAAGUCGGAUGUGAAAUCCCCGGGCUCAACCUGGGAACUGCAUUCGAAACUGGCAGGCUAGAGGCUUGUAGAGGGGGGUAGAAUUCCAGGUGUAGCGGUGAAAUGCGUAGAGAUCUGGAGGAAUACCGGUGGCGAAGGCGGCCCCCUGGACAAAGACUGACGCACAGGUGCGAAAGCGUGGGGAGCAAACAGGAUUAGAUACCCGUGUAGUC